Molecule: long non-coding RNA, 900 nt
Filed under: Heterocephalus glaber (naked mole-rat)
Lineage: Eukaryota; Metazoa; Chordata; Mammalia; Rodentia; Bathyergidae
Description: lncRNA (ENSHGLG00000043451.1)
Source: RNAcentral
GGAAGAAUGCAGCACACACUUAUGGUAUGAACUGUCAGUCAGGUCUACAUCCCCUAGUUGGAUGUGUUCCACAGCCUGACUCAUCUUUCAAGGACAAGAUGGCGAGAACAGCAGUGAACAGUGACAACAAAGUUUCUGAGGUCUGGGUUAGGGGAAGCAAGCUGUCAUUCCAUGAGCUGGCUCAUGGAGAGGCCCACAUGGCAAGAAGCAUUGAGGUCUGCCGGCAGCUCCAUGCGGGAGCUUGGAAAUGGUUUCUCCUUCAAGAGAAUCGAAUGCCCCCACUUACAGCAGGCAGAGCUCAGGCAGAAAGGCAAGCAUGGGAGCAGCUGUAAAUACAGACUGUCUUCAACUACAGCAGAGAAGCCCUGUUGGAGACAGAGAAGGUGGGAUUUAUUUAUGGUGCUGAGGAUUGAACCUAGGCCCUUUGCACUGAGCAAUGUCCCUAGCCCUUUUUAAUUUUUUUUUGAGAUAAGGUCUUGCAAAAUUGCUAUUUUCCAGGCUGGGCUUGAACUUGUGACCUUCCCACUCAGCCUCCAGAGUGCGGGGAUCACAGACAUGCACCACCACACUCAGCCAGGUGGGUCAGUUAAAAAAAGGGUAGUCUGAGAGCUCCAAGUAGCCCUUCAUUCAUCUAGUUAACUAACAUUUAGAGCACCUACUAUGUCUAGGUACCAUGCCCUACCGGAAGGCUGAAAUGAAUAGAACAUGGGCUUUCUCUUGAAGAACUCUAUAGUCAAAGAAACCUCAAACUAAAUUCCACCAGACAUAACAGAUUUGAGCUGGGAGUGGUUAUACAACCCUGUAAUCCCAGUACUCAGGAGGCUGAGGCAGGAGAACUGCUGUGAGUUUGAAGCCAGCCUGGGCUACAUAGUGAGUUCAAGGCCAGCCUGAACUACAUAA